This 2808-nucleotide long non-coding RNA is filed under the name Mus musculus (house mouse). RNAcentral's name for it is "predicted gene, 30655". The record is from RNAcentral. Lineage: Eukaryota; Metazoa; Chordata; Mammalia; Rodentia; Muridae.
AAGUACACUGUAGCCGUCUUCAGACACUCCAGAAGAGGCAGUCAGAUUUCAUUACGGAUGGUUGUGAGCCACCAUGUGGUUGCUGGGACUUGAACUCCGGACCUUCGGAAGAGCAGUCGGGUGCUCUUACCCGCUGAGCCAUCUCACCAGCCCAGUCCCCAUCUUUGAAAGUACAUUCUGCCAAAUUAAUGAUAGUUAAGACUUCAUGUGCCUGUGAGAGGAAGAAUUCAGCCCACAGCAGAACGUAAAAUGGGGUCUGAAGGACAAGUUCAUUUGGAGGGAAGAGUUGGAACAGACCACAGUUGGGCCCUGCUUGAUAUGCAGUGCUGAAGAACUGGUCCACCAUCUCUCUGAAAACCAUCCAUGCUUCCAUGAAGCUGACCCAUUCCCUAGGAAUGCUGGUUGUUUAAGAAAAUUUAGCCUUUAGCCAUUCAGCAGAGCUUUUUUUUUUUUUAAACUCAGAAAGAAGAACACUCCAAGUCGCUUGCUUGCUUGCUUGCUUGGUUUUUUGAGACAGGGUUUCUCUGUGUAGCCCUGGCUGUCCUGGACCUCACUCUGUAGACCAGGCUGGCCUCGAACUCAGAAAUCUACCUGCCUCUGCCUCCCGAGUGCUGGGAUUAAAGGCUUGUGCCACCAUUGCCCAGCAAACACUCCAAGUCUUGUAAUGAAUCUACCAUCUUUAUUGAUUUCAGUAAGUUCUUUAACUAAGUACUAAGUGGCUUUCAAAGCUGGUUGCUCAUCAAACAAACCACCUGAGGAGUUUAAGAAGAAGAAAAAAAAAGACAAAAAAAAAAACCCAACUAUUCACCAUUGCCCUCCACAUCCUAGGGAUGUAGAGCAGAAUCUCAGACCUGGGCAUAAGCAUUGUUGUUGUUGUUGUUGUUUUAAUUUCCUCUAAAGCAAUUACAUAGGGAAAUGACUAUGGGAGAAGCUAGGUGUGGUAUACACAUUGCUCAUGGUAAAACGAUUACACCUCCGAGUAUGUUUGAGGCUUUUCAUAAAAGAACAGCAGCAUGAAGGUAAGAGGUUCCUUUAGAUGAUUCAGCCAUGCCACGGCCAUACCUGUCAUGCUGUCUGCUACUCUAGACCUGCCAUACUGUACUAAUGUUACUCAGUCAUUGCCACGCUGUACUGAUGUUACUCAGUCAUUGCCACGCUGUACUGAUGUUACUCAGUCAUUGCCACGCUGUACUGAUGUUACUCAGUCAUUGCCACGCUGUACUGAUGUUGCUCAGUCAUUGCCACGCUGUACUGAUGUUGCUCAGUCAUUGCCACGCUGUACUGAUGUUGCUCAGUCAUUGCCACGCUGUACUGAUGUUGCUCAGUCAUUGCCACGCUGUACUGAUGUUGCUCAGUCAUUGCCACGCUGUACUGAUGUUACUCAGUCAUUGCCACGCUGUACUGAUGUUACUCAGUCAUUGCCACGCUGUACUGAUGUUACUCAGUCAUUGAAGGAAAGAUUUAUUUUUUGGUGCUUACCGCCAUGCCUGAUAGCCAGAGCUUGAGUCUAGAAUUCCACAUAGUAUAAGGAGACAGGUGACUCUGGCUUACAGUUCUGUUACCUCUACAUGUGCAUACCCCAACACACACACACAGUAAAUAAAUAAAUAGGUAAGUAGCUUAAAAAACAAAAAAGAAAACACUGGUGGACUUCUGUCAUAUGCAGAGUCUUCUAUUAGAGGCUUGGAAUGUGGGGGCAAUGGAAAAGCUAUCUUUCUUUAAAACCAUAAGAAAUGCCUUUUGUUUUUUUUUCCUUAAGCAGAUUAUCAAAAUUGAGAUCCUGGCUUCUAUCAAUAGGAGCAAGUCAGUAGAAAGGACCGUAAAAACACAAACAGGACAGAAUUUGAGUGUCUAUAUCAAAGCAAGAUCUAGUCAGGUGUCAACAUGAGACUGUAGUGGAAUAAGAGGAGUGCAGGAGAUAAGGAGCACAGAUAUUGCCACAGGAGCAGAGAACAAUGGAGUGGCACUAUUAGAAGAUAUGGCCUUAUUGGAGGAGCUGUGUCACUGUGGGGACAGACUUUGAGGUCUCAAGUGCUGAAGCUACACCCCAGUGUGGCUCACAGUUUCCUUCUGCUGUCUAUAUAACAAGAUGUAGAGCUCUCAUCUCCUUCUCCAGCACCAUGUCUGCCUGCACAUGGCCGUGCUUCCUGCCAUGAUGAUAAUGAACUAAACCUCUGAACUGUAAGCCAGCCCCAAUUAAACAUUUUCCUUUAUAAGAGUUGCCACAGUCAUGACGUCUCUUCACAGCAAUAGAACUCUAAGACAAUGCCCUUGCUCAGCUAUUAUGGACCUUCUGAAAUAAUGUAUUAGGGUUCUCUAAAGUAACAGAAUUUAUAGAAUGAAUCUUUCUCUCUCACUCUCUCUCUCUUUCUCAUAUACAUAUACAUAUAUACAUAUAUAUGGGGAUCUAUUGAUACUCUCAUAUAUAUAUAUGGGGAUUUAUUGAUACUCAUAUGUAUAUAUAUGAAGGUGAUUUAUUGUGAAUGACUUAUAGGUUAUAGUCCAGCUAAUCCAACAAUGUCUGUCUAUGAACUGCAAGUCCAAAAAUCCAGUAUUUAUUCAGUCUACAAGACUGGAUGUCUCAGUUGGUCUUUAGUAUAUGCUGGAAUGUAGUCAAGUUGACAAGCAAGAAUAGUCAUCACAAACCAUAAGCCCAAAUUAAAUGUCUUCUUUUGUAACUUGUCAUGGUCAUGUGUCCUUUUGUUGUUGUUGUUGUUUUUGUUUUUUUGUUUUUUGCUUUUUGAGACAGGGUUUCUCUGUAUAGCCCUGGCUGUCCUGGAACUCACUUUGUAGACCAGGCUGGCCUCA